GAUGAACGCUGGCGGCGUGCCUAAUACAUGCAAGUCGAGCGAACAGACGAGGAGCUUGCUCCUCUGACGUUAGCGGCGGACGGGUGAGUAACACGUGGAUAACCUACCUAUAAGACUGGGAUAACUUCGGGAAACCGGAGCUAAUACCGUAUAAUAUCUUGAACCGCAUGGUUCAAUAGUGAAAUACGGUUUUGCUGUCACUUAUAGAUGGAUCCGCGCCGCAUUAGCUAGUUGGUAAGGUAACGGCUUACCAAGGCAACGAUGCGUAGCCGACCUGAGAGGGGGGUAGGCGACACUGGAACUGAGACACGGUCCAGACUACUAAGGGAGGCAGCAGUAGGGAAUCUGCCGCAAUGGGCGAAAGCAUGACGGAGCAACGCGGAGUGAGUGAUGAAGGUCUUCGGAUCGUAAAACUCUGUUAUGAGGGAAGAACAAAUGUGUAAGGAACUAUGCACGUCGUGACGGUACCUAAUCAGAAAGCCACGGCUAACUACGUG
Molecule: ribosomal RNA, 497 nt
Filed under: uncultured bacterium
Lineage: Bacteria
Description: partial 16S ribosomal RNA
Rfam family: Bacterial small subunit ribosomal RNA
Source: RNAcentral